CUCUGCCACCACCGUUUCAUUAUCAUCUUCCCCUCUCUCCCUCUUUUCGCAUACCUUUCAGAAGGGCUCAUACUAAAUCAUGUGGAUCCGAAAAUGGAAACCCAGGACCAGGAGCAGAAUGUUCGUCGAUUAUCAGUUCAGUAAGAGGAAACAAAUGAAAACCCAGUAAUUUCUUACGGAUACGACAAUGGCUGAGUUUUUCUCAUCUCAGGAGUUUUGUUCUCUACAGCAAAGCAUCCAAAAACUAAGAAUUUAAUGGUGAUUUUAUCUCUUAAAGUGAUACGAUUUUGUUAAUACCAGUACUCUCUGCUAAUACUUUUCAAUUGCAGCCAAAAGAUUUAUGGAUUAGGACACCUUAGAAAGGAAUAGUGAUUUUUGCUCUGCCAUAAGAAACUGGUAUUGGGGAAUUGGGGAGUGACUUCAAAAUCCAUUUCCACAACCCCCGAGGAGAUUUCUACUGUUCUGUAAUGUUUCUGUGUUUUAUAUCUUAAAAUAACUUUGCCCAAUUGAUACUUCUUGUUUUCCCUUCUCUGUUGGUUAAAUACAACAAUGAUAAAUAACAGAAUGAUACUGGAAGCCUCUGAUAUUGAUGGUUUUAAUAAGGUAAAUGACAUAAGGAUACCUGUUUCUUCAGUUUGCUAAUAGUUUCUUGUAUACCUUUUUGUUUCUCUUUCACUUUGCCUUUCAUUUGUUUCCUCUCAGAAGGGCUCAUACUAAAUCAUGUGGAUCCGAAAAUGGAAACCUAGGACCACCGUUUAACCUGGACUUGACUCUAAAGAUUGGAUUCUGGUUGUUGAAACACUCAAUAAUGUUCGUCGAUUAUCAGUAUUCCAUAAGGAAAGAAUGCAUAGUAUGCUGGUGUUGAGGGAAUUAAAUAAUAUGGAAUUGACAAAUUGAUACAAGUAGCUGCAUCCCAACUAAGCGACCAGCUCCCAGAGUCACAGGAAGCUGCUCGAACCCUUCUUUUGGAGCUGCAAAUUGUAUAUGAGAAGUCCCACGGUCUCUCAACUGUAGUAUCUGAGAAUCCAGAGAUGGGCUCUUGGGAGAACUUUUGUCUGUCAAAGUUCUCUCCUUUAAGUGCGCAAGCAGUGCUUCGUGUGACAACAAACAUCGCUCGGGAAGGUCUCGUUAUUGGUUCAUAACGAUAUUAAAGGUGUAGCAGUGGAUUCAAUCUCUUCAAGCUGGAAAAGCCAAGGCUUAGCACUUCUUCAAGUGGAAUGUUAUUUAAUGUUGCAUUCCAUGGUCGUUUAUCUUAGUUAGAACUGGAAUUUGGUGUUAUUGAAACAGAGUUUUGUAGCUACCUUGUGUACUAUUUUCUUUAACCAUGAUUGUUAAUUAUUACGUGUUUUGUAGCUUUUUUUAUAAUUGGCCGAGUUAAUAUAGAUCAGAUGAG
Gossypium raimondii (Peruvian cotton) is the source of this 1393-nucleotide long non-coding RNA. RefSeq lists it as uncharacterized. The transcript is spliced from 3 exons. The record is from RefSeq and is a predicted model, not a curated record. NCBI's taxonomy places the organism in Eukaryota, Viridiplantae, Streptophyta, Magnoliopsida, Malvales, Malvaceae.